CGGACGGGUGAGUAAUGUCUGGGAAACUGCCUGAUGGAGGGGGAUAACUACUGGAAACGGUAGCUAAUACCGCAUAACGUCGCAAGACCAAAGAGGGGGACCUUCGGGCCUCUUGCCAUCGGAUGUGCCCAGAUGGGAUUAGCUAGUAGGUGGGGUAACGGCUCACCUAGGCGACGAUCCCUAGCUGUCUGAGAGGAUGACCAGCCACACUGGAACUGAGACACGGUCCAG
Molecule: ribosomal RNA, 231 nt
Filed under: uncultured bacterium
Lineage: Bacteria
Description: partial 16S ribosomal RNA
Rfam family: Bacterial small subunit ribosomal RNA
Source: RNAcentral